This 6548-nucleotide long non-coding RNA is filed under the name Triticum aestivum (bread wheat). RNAcentral describes it as "long non-coding RNA (TAES_LNC003326)". Lineage: Eukaryota; Viridiplantae; Streptophyta; Magnoliopsida; Poales; Poaceae. The record is from RNAcentral.
CCUAGAUGCCAUGAUUCCCAAAUCGGGUCUGGCCACAUCUCCCUCUCUUUCCCCUGCCUCCUUCUCCAGCACAGGCCGCCACCACAGCCAGGCCGGCGUGGGGCGCGCCACCAGCUCCACUUCGUCGCCGCACCUCCGCACUCCAUGCAUCCAUUCGCUGCACCGCGACCCAUCCACCAUAACUACCACGAGUCCCUUGCUGCACCUCACGCCACCAAUCUGAAUCUCUUCUUCCUUCUUGCUGUUGUUCAUCUCAACCUCGUUGUUGUUCAUCAUUGCUACUGCCCGUAGCUCUCUUCUUCUCUCUCAAACUUGUUGGUGUUGAUGCCCUCAACCUCCUGCUGCUCCUCUCUUCUUGCGCUCCUGCUGUUGCCCCUUCUACCCCUACCUCGCUACUGCUCUGCUUCUUUUCCAUCCCCACGCUGUUGCUCUCUACACCCCUGCUGCUGCUUCUUUCCCAGUCUUGCAAUAGCCCUUCUGCAUCUCCAACUUGCUACUGCUCCUCUGAACCUCUUCUCCUCCUAGUCUUGCUUCUAUCUUGCCGCUUCCCUGUAGCAGUUCCUUUCCUUCACCCGCUGCUCUCUUUGUGUGUGUGUGUGUGUGCGUGUGUGUGUGUGUUCGUGUGUGUGAGAUUGUGUGUGUUUGUACUUCAUAAGUAUUGAUAGUGUGUGAUGAAGAGAUAUGUUAAUUCCAGGGACAUGUAGUUGUUCUUAUAAUUUUGUUGAUCAGUGAGAAUUGGUACUGAUGCUUAUGACCUUCUAUUUCUAUGUAUGAGAUCUAGCCAAACCUGUCAUUUUAUAUAUUGUAAUUGCUGAAUAGUGUUCAGUUUUCAGUCCCUGUUUUAGCUCUAGUACCCGUGACAUAUAUGUUCGUGAUAUAUGUUUCAUGUGGUUUCGUAUUGCUGUUAUGUUGAUCAUUUUAGUGCUAGUACUGUGUCUUGUGUAAUCCAAACCAUAUAUGAUUUGUGUAUGUGACUAAUUGUCAGCUAGUAGCUUUUAAUAAUUCAUAUUGUUUCUUGUGAAUUUGUAGAAGUGAGAUGUAUGAACAUUUAAUUUCCAGUCUCUGUGUUAACGAUGUUAGUGUGAAUAUAUAUAUAUAUAUAUAUAUAUAUAUAUAUAUAUAUAUAUAUGUUUUUGUUGUGAUAUAUUUCUGUCCCUGUCGUACUAGCGUGUUCCUACCUUGUCUCAUACUUGCUAGUUAUAUAUAUACAUAUAUGUGGUCUUGUCUUGUCAAUUCCCCUUGUUGAGGAUGUCCGUCUGUAGUUUCAAUUUUCUCAAGUGAUAUGAAAACACCAAAAAAAGAGCGAGUUUCAAUCUUAAUCUCCUCGUGCCGUUUGUCAUUUUAUUUGUCAUCAUUCUAGAUUUGUAUUUUCUUCUUUCAUCAUCUAAAUUCUGUCACCUAGCUUUAGCCGAGCAUUGUUGCCGUCGCCUAGUCCCUGUGGAGAACACGACACUGCAGAUUUGGGCGAAAUACCCUGUUGUACUUACGAUUGAUCAUUUUGGCACCGUUGCCAGGGACUAGCGUCGAGUGACUGUGUUAGGCUAUAGACUAGGUUUUUCUUCUUUUUCUAGUUUGUGCCAUAUAUUUGUGAUAUAUCUCUAACCACUAACCCCUGCUCUAGUUAGUAUCUUUUUUGUUUUCUUUUCCUUUUUGCAUGUUAGAAUUAUCUUCUCGGUUAUGGCUUACUAUGCAGUUCAUCAGGCUUAUGCGAGCAACACUACAAACAACACGGAAAGUAUUCAAGAACUGAUAACUAAGAUUUCCCAUCAAUUAGAUGACUUAGCUCGGCGACGAGAAGUAGUUUUUGAGGAUAGGCCUAGCUCUUAUGAUCCUUAUUCUAGAGGCCAUCCUUAUGUUGCUCCUACCUGCCAUAUUUGUGGAUUUCAGGGCCAUUCGCCCGCUGAAUGUCAGCGUGGUUACUCCCAUCCUCCGGAUUGUUUUGGCAUGAGCUUCGCUCAACAGCAUAGCUCAUACCAAAACAAUUACCCAUAUGGGUGGCCUGAAAACCCGAGUAUGUCAUAUAGGAGCAACAACCCUGAGAUCUCAUCGUUUUCUUCUAGUAAUCAUAUGCAGGGAUUUAGGUAUGAAGAGGAGAGCCACAACCAUGCACCACAACAGUUUUAUUCACCUCCUACUCAUAUACCUCAAUACCAGGAGAUGUGUCCAAUGGAGUUAAAUGGUCCUCCAUUUGAUCAACCAACAACUCCAUCACCUUCCAAGCAAUCUCUUGUGCAAGUGCCCACACAAGAUGAAUUUGAUGAUAUAGAGAAGCUCACAUUGCUUAGUCUCGAGUUCACUUGGAGUGCUGAAGAUGAUCCAAUUAGGCCGGUGAUACUAGAUGAAAUGAAGAAGAUCAAGAGUGGGAAUGAGCUAGUGGAAGAAGUAAGGAAGAUUGAGAAGAACAUCAACGCUGGCAGCACUAUUUCUUUAUAGCUAGAGCUGAGUAUUUCUGGGAUUUCCAUUGAUACUUGUGAGGUUUCAAUGCCUUCACAUCCAGCUGAGGAAGAUAGUAAGAGCCGUGAGGAAGAGAUACCUCAGAUUCAAGAAGAUGUACUCGAAGACAAGGAACAAGAUGAUCCAGAGCUUGACUACCCAAGUGAUCAAGUUGAAGAUCCAAUGUCUAUCCCUCCUGAAGAAGUAAAAGAAGUUGUUGUAGUUGAAGAUGAAGAACCAGAGAAUCAUUUGCCAAUUGUCAUUCAAGAGUGUGAUAUUGUAGGUUUAUCUAACCCUCUUGAUGACAUGCUCCCAUAUGAAUUGUUUGCUACUACCUUGCAUUGCAUGAUGCCGUCUGUUAAAGUAGAUUUUAAAAAGUAUUUGCUUGGAUGUGAUGAUAUAUACCCUGUUUGUGGCAUUACUCUCAUUUGUGAUGAUCACACUUAUUUUCCUCAUGCCAAACCUAUGCUUAAUGAUAAAUAUAAUCUUAAUGCUAGUAUUGAGCUUGUUGAUUCCUAUCACCAUAAACAUGUGCUUUAUAGCUAUGCUUAUGUAAUUGGAUAUUUGAUUGAUGACUUGGAGGGUAUUAUCCCUACCGCUUGCAUCGUCUCUUUUGUGGAGUGUACUUUCAGGUUUUUGCUUCUGCAUCAUUCACUUCAUGCUGACCAGGUUCGAGGUGACAUUCCUUGGGACCCUGGUGGACUCAGAGCAUGGGGAUGAGGAGAAGCAAGGAGCACACAUGAAGAAGAGUGAAGCUGGAGCAUGCACGAGGAAGCAAAGGAGAGGAGCUGCAGUUGGUGAGGUGAUCGAGCGAGUGCUACAUCAUCAAAGCCCGGUGAGCUGUUUCAUGACCCAUUUUGAAAUCAUCAUCCAUUGAUGCUUGCUAAAUUAAAUUGCUUUUUGGGUUGCUUGUGCCAUUUCUUAAAUGUUGUCCCACUGAAUUUCACCUUUGACAUAUGGUGCUUGAUGAGAAUAUGCGAACUGAUUGUUGAAUGCCUUGUAAACUAGUGAUCUACACAAUGCUUGCUUUGCUGAAAGUAGUGAAGGCUACUAGUUUUGAGUGCUCAAAUCCCUAGUACACUAGAAAACUUAAUCAUUUUCUUCUUUUACCUUGAUACACCUAGAUCAUUAAGUGUCAGAUGCUGAGUUUGUGCCUAAUGUGUUCCCAUUCAGAGCAAUCACUCACCACUAUGGACUAGCAUGCUAUGUUCCCUGGAUCGGUAGUAUGUGAAUCAGACCUGGAUGAGUGAUGAUUCUUGUUUCCUUUUUGUAUUCAUUUGUUAAAUAAGUAAUAAUGAAUAAAUAAUUAUCUUAUCUUACCUAACAGUAGCAUGUCAUGUUCCCUGGAUCGGUGGCUUGUGAAAUCUGGUUGGAUCGGAUAGGAGUUAAUUAUAUUAAAAAAUGUUAUAUUUGUCGAACCAGGUGUAUACCAUGUUCUCUUGAUCGGUGGUAUGUUCCUUUGGCGAGACAAAUAAAAAAACUAAUAAUUGGUCGAGCCAGGUGCAUACCAUGUUCUCGGGAUCGGUGGUAUGUUCCUUUGGUGAGACCAAUAAAAUAUUACCAUUGCUUCCUUCAAAUUCAAUAAGUGGUUCAACCACAAUGUUCCUGGUAAUAAGUGAUCUGAUCACAAGUUUAAGUUCUUUUUGUUUUUUUGGAUCAUGCUCUCUUUAGGAACCUUUUGGCACAAUCAGCAUUUGAAUUUGUUGAUCCAUUUUUAUCAUUGUAAAAGUUUAAAAUGAUUGAGUCUACUAGUAUCCUAUUGCUUCGUAGCACUCUUAACCUUUGCUUUUCACAGGUAAUUCCAAAGCAUGCAAUGUUUGGAGAUCUACUUCACUGGGACAUUCUCUAGUCAGCUCACUGUUCACUGUCUAGCUCUUGUCAUAUGCCUUUACUUGAGGACAAGUAAAGAUUUAAGUGUGGGGGAACUUGAUAAGCACAUUUCAUAUAUAUAUAAUUUUGGCAUACAAAUAUACCAUUUGUUGAGUUCUGACAUUAGUUUUUGCUAUGAAAUACUGAAUAUUUGAAUGAUAAUCAUAUAAGAGCAUGUUGACUAGUGAAUUGUUUCUUUUGCAGAAAAGUGCGAGAAGGCACUAUAAACUUCAAGAUUCGGUCGAUUGCCAAACGCGAUGAGACUUGGGGCUGGAACGAGAGAACGAGGGACCCGAGCGAGAAGAAAAGAAGUAUCUAGGGGCAAGCUAAUGUUGGAGGAUCAUCUUGAGAAGAAAGGAAGCAGGAGGGCCAAAGUGAAAAAAUGGCAGAUCACAGGAGGUCAAAAUCCCUAGACUCCCUGAUUCCCAAAUCGGGCCUGGCCACAUCUCCCUCUCUUUCCCCUGCCUCCUUCUCCAGCAAAGGCCGCCGCCACGGCCAGGCCGGCGUGGGGCGCGCCACCGGCUCCACUUCGCCGCCGCACCUCCGCACUCCAUCCAUCCAUUCGCUGCACCGCGACCCAUCCACCAUAACUACCACGAGUCCCUUGCUGCACCUCAUGCCACCAAUCUGAAUCUCUUCUUCCUUCUUGCUGCUGUUCAUCCCAAUCUCGCUGCUGUUCAUCUUUGCUACUGCCCGCAGCUCUCUUCGUCUCUCUCAAACUUGUUGAUGCAGAUGCCCUCAACCUCCUGCUGCUCCUCUCUUCUUACGCCCCUGCUGUUGCCCCUUCUACCCCUACCUCGCUGCUGCUCUGCUUCUUUUUCAUCCCCACGCUGCUGCUACUCCUUCUCUCUACGCCCCUGCUGCUGCUUCUUUCCCAAUCUUGCCAUUGCCCUUCUGCAUCUCCAACUUGCUGCUGCUCCUCUGAACCUCUUCUCCUCCUAGUGCUGCUUCUAUCUUGCCGCUUCCCUGCAGCGGUUCCUUUCCUUCACCCGCUGCUCUCUCUGUGUAUGUGUGUGCGUGUUCGUGUGUGUGAGAUUGUGUGUGUUUGUACUUCAUAAGUAUUGAUAGUGUGUGAUGAAGAGAUAUGUUAAUUCCAGGGACAUGUAGCUGUUCUUAUAAUUUUGUUGAUCAGUGAGAAUUGGUACUGAUGCUGAUGACCUUCUAUUUCUAUGUAUGAGAUCUAGCUAAACCUGUCAUUUAUAUUCUGUACUUGUUGAAUAGUGUUCAAUUUUCAGUCCCUAUUUUAGCUCUAGUACCCGUGACAUAUGUUCGUGAUAUAUGUUUCAUGUGGUUUCGUAUUGCUAUUAUGUUGAUCAUUUUAGUGCUAGUAUUGUGUCUUGUGUAAUCCAAACCAUAUAUGAUUUGUGCGUGUCACUAAUUGUCAGCUAGUAGCUUUUAAUAAUUCAUAUUGUUUCUUGUGAAUUUUCUAUCGAUGUUAGUCUCUGUAGAAGUGAGAUGUAUGAACAUUUAAUUUCCAGUCUCUGUGUUAACGAUGUUAGUGUGAAAAUAUAUAUGUUUUUGUUGUGAUAUAUUUAUGUCCCUGUCGUACUAGCAUGUUCCUACCUUGUGUCUCAUACUUGCUAUAUAUAUAUAUAUGGUCUUGCCUUGGUAAUUCCCCUCGUUGAGGAUGUCCGUCUAAAGUUUCAAUUUGCUCAAGUGAUAUGAAAACACCAAAAAGAGAGCUCCUCGUGUUGUUUGUCAUUUUAUUUGUCAUCAUUCUAGAUUUAUAUUUUCUUCUUUCAUCAUCUAAAUUCUGUCACCUAGCUUUAGCCGAGCAUUGUUGCCGUCGCCUAGUCCAUGUGGAGAACAGGACACUGCAGAUUUGGGCGAAAUACCCUGCUGUACUUAUGAUUGAUCACGGCCAUGGCAAAGCAAUGAGCAGCAGCAAAACUAAGAGCAGCGGCAGCAGCUAAGUAGCAGCAAGGCAGUAGCAGCCAGCGGCAGUAAGCAGCGCUAGCAGCAGUCGCAAAGGAGCAGCACAGCAUACGGCGCAUCAGCAUAACGCAGCAGCAGGGCCAGGAGCAGGCACGCGGGCUUGUGUGGGCGAGCGGCGGCAGCAACAGUGCUGUAGCGUGGGCAUCGGCGAGCGGGCGAGAAAGGGCGCGGCCCGGACGGGCACUGGCGCGCUAAGGCACGGCCUGGGUGGGCACGAGUAAGGAUGGCAAUUUUACCCAUGUGUACGGGUACCCACGGGUACCAUACCCGCAUGGGCAGGGUAUGGGCACACUUUUAUACUCACGGGUAGU